This is a long non-coding RNA of Cebus imitator (Panamanian white-faced capuchin), 153 nucleotides long. RefSeq lists it as uncharacterized. Lineage: Eukaryota; Metazoa; Chordata; Mammalia; Primates; Cebidae. The transcript is spliced from 3 exons. The record is from RefSeq and is a predicted model, not a curated record.
CUUAACCACUGAUUUUUUUUAAUCAAGUUUUACAGUGAUUAUUUGAUAUGUUUCUAUAAAUCUUACUUUGUGCUGUUAUAAAAAACCUCCAUUUUGAAAAUCUACAUUGUACAGAAGCACAUGCCUUCAAUGUUUUCAUACAAAAAAACCUAU